RNAcentral lists this ribosomal RNA (228 nucleotides) under uncultured Glomus. RNAcentral's name for it is "partial 18S ribosomal RNA". It matches the Rfam family "Eukaryotic small subunit ribosomal RNA", at positions 556 to 785 of the family's 1831-position model. The record is from RNAcentral. Lineage: Eukaryota; Fungi; Glomeromycota; Glomeromycetes; Glomerales; Glomeraceae.
CAAGUCUGGUGCCAGCAGCCGCGGUAAUUCCAGCUCCAAUAGCGUAUAUUAAAGUUGUUGCAGUUAAAAAGCUCGUAGUUGAAUUUCGGGAUCAAUAUUUCGGUCAUGCCGUUGGUAUGCACUGUUAUCAUUGAUUUCUCACCUUCUAAAGAACCGUAAUGCCAUUAAUUUGGUGUUACGGGGAAUUAGGACUGUUACCUUGAAAAAAUUAGAGUGUUUAAAGCAGGC